This 440-nucleotide ribosomal RNA is filed under the name uncultured bacterium. RNAcentral describes it as "bacterial SSU rRNA". It matches the Rfam family "Bacterial small subunit ribosomal RNA", at positions 98 to 518 of the family's 1533-position model. The record is from RNAcentral.
CGGCACGGGUGAGUAACGCGUAGAUAACCUGUCUUCAUGUCUGGAAUAAUACGCCGAAAGGGGUACUAAUACCGGAUAUCUUGCUUUUCAUAAGUUAUGCAAGCAAAGGUGGCCUCUGCAUAUGCUACUGCAUGAAGAGGGGUCUGCGUACCAUUAGCUAGUAGGUGGGGUAAUGGCCUACCUAGGCGACGAUGGUUAGCGGGUCUGAGAGGAUGAUCCGCCACACUGGCACUGGAACACGGGCCAGACUCCUACGGGAGGCAGCAGUGAGGAAUAUUGCGCAAUGGGGGAAACCCUGACGCAGCGACGCCGCGUGAGUGAGGAAAGGCCUUCGGGUCGUAAAGCUCUGUCAAGAGGAAAGAAGUGUACAAUGGCUAAUACCUGUUGUAUUUGACGGUACCUCUAAAGGAAGCACCGGCUAACUCCGUGCCAGCAGCUGC